AGUGAAGAUGCCUAGGCCCAAUAUUAAAGGGACACUCCACUGUCCAAGUAUAAACAAAAAAUAUAAGUUAAUUAAUAAUCAAAAACACUGUUUAGGAAAUAUACCAAAUAAAAACAUGCAUGCAUUUAAUUAUGCAUUUUUUCUCAUUGGUGGUUACAUUUAAAAUCAGCUUUCAAAAGCUGCAGAUCUCUUGUCUGCAGCCUUUGUAAGCCAUCCCCUUCUAAACCAGACUUUUUGUGGCUGUCCAAUCAGACUUCAAUAAGCUCAAUAAAAUGUCUUUGCGAGGCAGGUGCUCUGGGCAAUUGCUCCCUUCUAAGUUUAGCUUCACUGAGCUAAACAAACCAGGAAGUUAAAGGGCCUCUUGUCUGAUUGACAACCAGGGUGGUUUAUUUAUUCCAUUGAAAUCUGCACUAUUUGUAAAAUGGAAAGAGAGGAUACACACUUUGCAGAUAGAGCGUUUCAGCAAACUAAGGUGCUAUAGAGGUCUGGAGUGUUUCUUCACCCUAUAUGCAUUAGGUUCCAGUUUAAUACAGCUAGUGUUUUUGAGUGUUCCCUGCCUGAGGCUACAUCUACAAAUAUGUGCCAGUCCAUUACAUAGCAUUGCUGGCUCUAUUAGUAACCCUAUAGUUUUAAAAUGUAUUGUUAAUCCCCUUGGCACCAUCAGCAUCUGUCACACCCUAAAUCAAGUUGGGCUACACUUUGAAAGGAUUACUCAUUCUUAGCGAGAAGAUGUAGGGGAUAUAUAUGGCUUGAUUAACAUUCUUGAACUUGGUAAGUAUGAGACUCAGCACCAAUGGAAGUGGUCCUACUUGUAACUAUUCAUAUGCCUCUAAGAUUUUAAUAAUGAUGAUUUUAUUCUUGAUUCAAUUUAAGUUAAUUCCUGAUAUGUGCCUUUCCUUAAACUAAUUUCACUUAUAACUGCUUUUUAGUACCGAAGGUAUUGUAUCCAUCAUUAACAAUAAUUUACAAUUCAUUUAGUGAUCUGUUAAGAAGGAAUGGAAAGCUAAAAUCUUAAUUCUGUUUAUAACAGUGUGUUACCUUUAACAUUCUCAACUGGAUGACGCUAAUCUCAUUACAGUUUAAUUGUCUCCAUUUCUGAAAUGCUUGCAACAGGGUUGAACUGAUUGCAUCAAACUGUUGAUAAAUUCCAGGUUAUUUUAAAAAUUUUAUAUUUUGCAUUUGCAUGAUCAUAAUAGAAGUUCAGUUAAGUUGUAUUCUUAACCUUCUGCUUAUAAUUAUUGCUUGAACAAACCUUAAAAAAGAACAGUACGAAACAAACACUAUAUACAGUAUAACCUAACAAGCACUAUAACCUAUACACUUUGGUCAGUUUAUAUUACCUAUGCUCUCAAAUGUUCUAAUCUCAUUAAUGAUAUAAACAUAGAGAGCUGAGGAACUGUUAAAGGUUUCAUAACUACUUCAUAUCGUUUAAGUGGUUUUGAUGCCUGGGGUCGCCUUGUGCCAUCGAACUGUUAAAUGUAAAGCUGUUUUUUAUUGAUUUCAUUCUGAUUUGAUUUGGCCCCUACUCAAGACCAGCAAUUUGAGGCAGUGACCGCCUCAGUAUGUCUAAUAUGAGUAUAAUUUCUGCCUUAGGUACACUGUCCAGAGGCUGGUGGACCCAUGGUAGACUGGAACCCUCAUUCAGGGUCAAACUGAUCGAAAACAGUUUAGCAUUGAACAGUAAAAUGGCGCCAGUGGACUUCAUGCUUCAUCACCACUACAAUGAGAUGAAGUGGUUAUGGUGCCUAGAGUGCCUCUUUAGAUGACAAUAUUUUGUAUAAUUUAUUUAUGAUGCAUGUUCAUAUAGCUAAUAGCUAACUGUUAUACAAUAGCUUAGGCAUUGCAUUCUGGGAAAUCCGUAACGCAGGUGUGACCAAACUGUAGUUCUUCCGCUAGGAACUUCCAUCACUGUUUCUAGUGGUUAUUCAAUAAAAGCACAAACAUUCCAUGUUGGAGAUAAUCCUGAACUAGGACUCUGUGUAGAGCAACAGACUGGCCACAGCUGGGGGAAAAAAAACAUUGUUUCUCUUGUUGUUGUAAUGCUAACUUGGUUUCUGGGUUAUUUGAAAAUAGAAUCGAGCUUCGUUCCCUUGGAAAGAUCAAUAAAGGAGAUGAGCUCAGUGUGUCCUACAUCGAUUUCCUAAAUCUCACCGAAGACAGACAGAAACAGCUAAAGAAACAAUAUUACUUUGACUGCACAUGCGAACACUGUACCAAAAAGAUCAAGGAUGACUUGCUCUUGGCAGUGACUGAAGGCGACCAAAAGGUAACCACAUAAGUACUACUUUAACACACAAUUGCUGUUUUAUAAUAAUGACUUUUUAUUGUUAUUAUUCAUAUUUUGAUUUAGAUAACAGCCCAUUAAAAAAUUGACAUUUGUACCAUGCGAUAUUGUGUGUUUCGCUUUUCGGACUCCAG
Molecule: long non-coding RNA, 2418 nt
Filed under: Pelobates cultripes (western spadefoot toad)
Lineage: Eukaryota; Metazoa; Chordata; Amphibia; Anura; Pelobatidae
Source: RNAcentral